AGGUGAAUCACUUGGACAUCUUGUUAAAAUGCAAACUCUGGUUCAGCAGGUGUGGAUGGAGCCUGAGAGUCUGCAUUUCUAACAAGCUGCCAGGGAAUACCUGA
RNAcentral lists this microRNA precursor (104 nucleotides) under Marmota monax (woodchuck). Lineage: Eukaryota; Metazoa; Chordata; Mammalia; Rodentia; Sciuridae. The record is from RNAcentral.